Molecule: transfer RNA, 89 nt
Filed under: Staphylococcus aureus
Lineage: Bacteria; Bacillati; Bacillota; Bacilli; Caryophanales; Staphylococcaceae
Description: tRNA-Leu(taa)
Rfam family: tRNA
About the family: Transfer RNA (tRNA) molecules are approximately 80 nucleotides in length. Their secondary structure includes four short double-helical elements and three loops (D, anti-codon, and T loops).
Source: RNAcentral
GCCGGGGUGGCGGAACUGGCAGACGCACAGGACUUAAAAUCCUGCGGUGAGUGAUCACCGUCCCGGUUCGAUUCCGGUCCUCGGCACCA